This 440-nucleotide ribosomal RNA is filed under the name uncultured bacterium. Its description in RNAcentral is "bacterial SSU rRNA". It matches the Rfam family "Bacterial small subunit ribosomal RNA", at positions 338 to 783 of the family's 1533-position model. The record is from RNAcentral.
CCUACGGGAGGCUGCAGUCGAGGAUCUUCGGCAAUGGGCGCAAGCCUGACCGAGCGACGCCGCGUGCGCGACGAAGGCCUUCGGGUUGUAAAGCGCUGUCGGGGGGGAGGAAAGCCCCACAAGGGCCUGACCGACCCCCGGAGGAAGCACGGGCUAAGUUCGUGCCAGCAGCCGCGGUAAGACGAACCGUGCAAACGUUGUUCGGAUUCACUGGGCUUAAAGGGCGCGUAGGCGGGCGUGUCAGUCAGGGGUGAAAGCCCUCGGCCCAACCGAGGAAGGGCCUCUGCGACGGCACGUCUGGAGGGAGGUAGGGGCAGCGGGAACUUCCGGUGGAGCGGUGAAAUGCGUAGAUAUCGGAAGGAACGCCGGUGGCGAAAGCGCGCUGCUGGACCUCAUCUGACGCUGAGGCGCGAAAGCCAGGGGAGCGAACGGGAUUAGAU